Molecule: ribosomal RNA, 253 nt
Filed under: uncultured bacterium
Lineage: Bacteria
Description: partial 16S ribosomal RNA
Rfam family: Bacterial small subunit ribosomal RNA
Source: RNAcentral
GACGAAGGGGGCAAGCGUUGUUCGGAAUUACUGGGCGUAAAGCGUGCGUAGGCGGUUCGUUAAGUCUGUCGUGAAAGCCCUGGGCUCAACCUGGGAAUUGCGAUGGAUACUGGCGAGCUAGAGUACGGUAGAGGAUGGUGGAAUUCCCGGUGUAGCGGUGAAAUGCGUAGAGAUCGGGAGGAACACCCGUGGCGAAGGCGGCCAUCUGGACCAGUACUGACGCUGAGGCACGAAAGCGUGGGGAGCAAACAGG